UAGGGAAUCUUCCACAAUGGACGCAAGUCUGAUGGAGCAACGCCGCGUGAGUGAAGAAGGUUUUCGGACCGUAAAGCUCUGUUGUUGGUGAAGAAGGAUAGAGGUAGUAACUGGCCUUUAUUUGACGGUAAUCAACCAGAAAGUCACGGCUAACUACGUGCCAGCAGCCGCGGUAAUACGUAGGUGGCAAGCGUUGUCCGGAUUUAUUGGGCGUAAAGCGAGCGCAGGCGGAAGAAUAAGUCUGAUGUGAAAGCCCUCGGCUUAACCGAGGAAUUGCAUCGGAAACUGUUUUUCCUUGAGUGCAGAAGAGGAGAGUAGAACUCCAUGUGUAGCGGUGGAAUGCGUAGAUAUAUGGAAGAAUACCAGUGGCGAAGGCGGCUCUCUGGUCUGCAACUGACGCUGAGGCUCGAAAGCAUUGUAGCGAACAGGAUUAGAUACCCUGGUAG
This 446-nucleotide ribosomal RNA is filed under the name uncultured bacterium. Its description in RNAcentral is "partial 16S ribosomal RNA". It matches the Rfam family "Bacterial small subunit ribosomal RNA", at positions 355 to 793 of the family's 1533-position model. The record is from RNAcentral.